GACGAACGCUGGCGGCAUGCCUAACACAUGCAAGUCGAACGAAACGUCCGGGUCUUUGGGCGCACGGCUUCGUAAGGCGUGGGGACCUUCCCUUGGGUUCGGACUACCUCCCCGACUGGGAUGCUAAUGCCAGAUAGUGUCUUCUGCCCAAAGAUUUAUUGCCUUUGGAUGGGCCCUCGUUAGAUUCGCUGGUUGGUAGGGUAAAAGCAUACCAUGGCGCGGAUGCAUAGCUGGUUAGAGAGGCUGAUCAGCCACACUUGGACUGAGACACGGCCUAGAAUCCUACGCAAGGGAGGAGUGGGUAAUAUUGGAAGAGGGGGGAAAGCAUGAACCAGCAAUGACGGGUAAGUGAUGAAGGCCGUAGGGAAGUAAUGCUCUAUUACCCGGGAUGAUAAUGACAGUACCGGGUGAAUAAGCCCCGGCUAACUACGUG
RNAcentral lists this ribosomal RNA (433 nucleotides) under uncultured bacterium. Its description in RNAcentral is "partial 16S ribosomal RNA". It matches the Rfam family "Bacterial small subunit ribosomal RNA", at positions 28 to 507 of the family's 1533-position model. The record is from RNAcentral.